Molecule: non-coding RNA, 1351 nt
Organism: Cricetulus griseus (Chinese hamster)
Lineage: Eukaryota; Metazoa; Chordata; Mammalia; Rodentia; Cricetidae
Source: RefSeq, a predicted model, not a curated record
UUGGGGAGGGUGGAGCUGUUUUCUGGGUAGUUAAGAGUUAAGCCCUUCUGGACUUCCUCACUGGUCUCUUCCUGAACUUCCUCCUCUCCAGCCCUGGAGUCAGCACCCUGAGCCAGCAGUGUCUUGUCCCCAUGGCCUGCCUGAGUCCCUCUCAGCUCAAAAAGUUUCAGGAGGAUGGGUUUCUGCUGUUGGAAGGAUUCUUGACCGCAGAGGAGUGUGUGGCCAUGCAACAGAGGAUUGGUGAGAUUGUGGCUGAGAUGGACGUCCCUCUGCACUGUCGGACAGAGUUUUCCACCCAGGAAGAUGAGCAGCUUAGAGCUCAGGGCAACACAGACUAUUUCUUGAGCAGUGGUGACAAGGUUCGAUUCUUCUUUGAGAAAGGCGUUUUUGACAAGAAAGGAAAUUUCUUGGUCCCUCCAGAGAAAUCUGUCAACAAAAUCGGUCAUGCUCUGCACGCCCAUGACCCUGUCUUCAGGAGUGUGACACAUUCUCCCAAGGUGCAGGCUUUGGUCAGAAAUUUGGGCCUCCAGCUGCCAGUGGUGGUACAGAGCAUGUAUAUCUUUAAGCAACCUCACUUUGGCGGUGAAGUCUUCCCUCACCAAGAUGCUACCUUUCUGUACACGGAGCCCCCGGGCCGUGUGCUGGGCGUGUGGAUUGCGAUAGAGGAUGCUACGCUGGAGAACGGCUGCCUCUGGUUCAUCCCUGGCUCCCAUACUAGCCGGGUGUCAAGAAGAAUGAUCAGAGCCCCUGCAGGCUCCAGGCCUGCCACCAGCUUCCUUGGGUCAGAGCCAGCCUGGGAUAAUAACCUCUUUGUGCCUUUGCCAGUGCAGAGAGGGGGUCUGGUCCUGAUCCAUGGACAAGUGGUGCAUAAGAGUGAGCAGAACCUCUCGGACCACUCGCGCCAGGCCUAUACUUUCCAUCUCAUGGAGGCUGCUGCUGGCACUGUCUGGAGCCCAGAGAAUUGGCUCCAGCCCACAACUGAGCUGCCUUUCCCCCCACUGUACAUCUAAAGGCCCUGGCAAAACUGGGCUGGUCCUCCAAGGAGUGAAGCUGUCAACACCAGAGCCUCUGGCUGCAAACCAAGGGCACAUCUUCCUGUAUGGGCUUUCUUUCUGAUGGUGUCUAUGACCUUUGGUCCAGCAGACAGGGAGCCAAGAAGCAGAAGUGGCAGGGCAGUAGCCCAGGCUGGGUGGAGGGCUUCCUCCACAAUUUUGCCUCUCUGUCACCUUUCUGUCCUAACCCAGCCUCCUGAACUGGCCUCUCAGCAGCGAAAGGAUUCUGGUUGAGUUCCAGUUUUCUCUUGGGUGGAAAUUACUGUGUAAAGCACCGAAUAAAAAUGACUUAAAAUAUA